RNAcentral lists this long non-coding RNA (221 nucleotides) under Lathyrus oleraceus (garden pea). RNAcentral describes it as "Pisum sativum (pea) long non-coding RNA (PSAT_LNC013436)". The record is from RNAcentral. Lineage: Eukaryota; Viridiplantae; Streptophyta; Magnoliopsida; Fabales; Fabaceae.
CCUAGACGACACCCGUGAGUGGGGAAGGGUUUGAUCAUUAUUACAGGUACCGUUGGUGACUUGUGGUUCUGUUGGUGACUUUGGGUUCAGACGACAGUGUCUCAGUUGACCUUGGGUUUUCAAAUUGGAUUUGGGUUCUGAGUUUAGACCGAAGCUUCGACCUUGUGAUUCAGUGAUGCAACCAGCCAGUCCAGUCUGCAUCAUGUGCAUCAUAGCAUAUU